Salvia splendens (bonfire salvia) is the source of this 104-nucleotide small nuclear RNA. The record is from RefSeq and is a predicted model, not a curated record. Lineage: Eukaryota; Viridiplantae; Streptophyta; Magnoliopsida; Lamiales; Lamiaceae.
CUAUUUUCCUAACUAUGUCCGAUAUACAUUUGAAGACAGAGAAGAUUAGCAUUGCUCCUGCGAGAAGAUGACACACAUAAAUCGGUCUAGUUUGCCCAAUUUUU